UACGGAGGGUGCAAGCGUUAAUCGGAAUUAUUGGGCGUAAAGCGCACGCAGGCGGUUUUUUAAGUCAGAUGUGAAAUCCCCUGGCUCAACCUGGGAACUGCAUUUGAAACUGGCAAGCUUGAGUCUGGUAGAGGGAGGUAGAAUUCCAGGUGUAGCGGUGAAAUGCGUAGAGAUCUGGAGGAAUACCGGUGGCGAAGGCGGCCCCCUGGACGAAGACUGACGCUGAGGUGCGAAAGCGUGGGUAGCAAACAGG
Molecule: ribosomal RNA, 253 nt
Filed under: uncultured bacterium
Lineage: Bacteria
Description: partial 16S ribosomal RNA
Rfam family: Bacterial small subunit ribosomal RNA
Source: RNAcentral